AGCGCACCCUUGUCCUUAGUUGCCANCACGUAAUGGUGGGAACUCUAAGGAGACUGCCGGUGACAAACCGGAGGAAGGUGGGGAUGACGUCAAGUCAUCAUGGCCCUUACGGCCAGGGCUACACACGUACUACAAUGGUCGGUACAGAGGGUUGCCAUACCGCGAGGUGGAGCCAAUCCCAGAAAGCCGAUCCCAGUCCGGAUCGGAGUCUGCAACUCGACUCCGUGAAGUCGGAAUCGCUAGUAAUCGCGGAUCAGCUAUGCCGCGGUGAAUACGUUCCCGGGCCUUGUACACACCGCCCGU
This 303-nucleotide ribosomal RNA is filed under the name uncultured Rhodanobacter sp. RNAcentral's name for it is "bacterial SSU rRNA". It matches the Rfam family "Bacterial small subunit ribosomal RNA", at positions 1095 to 1397 of the family's 1533-position model. The record is from RNAcentral. Lineage: Bacteria; Pseudomonadati; Pseudomonadota; Gammaproteobacteria; Lysobacterales; Rhodanobacteraceae.